RNAcentral lists this ribosomal RNA (720 nucleotides) under Phyllactinia mali. RNAcentral describes it as "eukaryotic LSU rRNA". It matches the Rfam family "Eukaryotic large subunit ribosomal RNA", at positions 81 to 814 of the family's 3401-position model. The record is from RNAcentral. Lineage: Eukaryota; Fungi; Ascomycota; Leotiomycetes; Helotiales; Erysiphaceae.
UAGUAACGGCGAGUGAAGCGGUAACAGCUCAAAUUUGAAAUCUGGCUCCCCGCGGAGUCCGAGUUGUAAUUUGUAGAAGAUGCUUUGGGUACUUGGCCUGGCCUAAGUUCCUUGGAACAGGACGUCAUAGAGGGUGAGAAUCCCGUAUGCGGCCGGUUGUCGGUGCCCGUGUAAAGCUCUUUCGACGAGUCGAGUUGUUUGGGAAUGCAGCUCAAAAUGGGUGGUAAAUUUCAUCUAAAGCUAAAUAUGGGCCAGAGACCGAUAGCGCACAAGUAGAGUGAUCGAAAGAUGAAAAGCACUUUGGAAAGAGAGUUAAACAGUACGUGAAAUUGUUGAAAGGGAAGCGCUUGCAACCAGACUUGGGCGUCGCUGAUCAUCCAAAGACUCUCUUUGGUGCACUCGACGACGCACAGGCCAGCAUCGGUUGGAGUGGUGGGAGAAAGGUUGCCGGAACGUGGCUCUCUUCGGAGAGUGUUAUAGCCGGCGACGCAAUACCGCCUACCCUGACCGAGGACCGCGCUUCGGCUAGGAUGCUGGCGUAAUGGUUGUAAGCGACCCGUCUUGAAACACGGACCAAGGAGUCUAACAUCUAUGCGAGUGUUUGGGUGUGAAACCCAUGCGCGGAAUGAAAGUGAACGUAGGUGAGAACCCUUCGAGGGGGCAUCAUCGACCGAUCCUGAUGUCUUCGGAUGGAUUUGAGUAAGAGCAUAGCUGUUGGGA